Desmophyllum pertusum is the source of this 81-nucleotide non-coding RNA. NCBI's taxonomy places the organism in Eukaryota, Metazoa, Cnidaria, Anthozoa, Scleractinia, Caryophylliidae. The record is from the annotation of a GenBank genome assembly.
GGGUUCAUAGCUCAGUUGGUAGAGCAUCGAACUAGUAACGCGGACGGUCGUCAUGGGUCGUUCAAAUCCCGCAUAUAUUCA